RNAcentral lists this unclassified non-coding RNA (253 nucleotides) under uncultured Myxococcales bacterium. RNAcentral's name for it is "contains 16S-23S intergenic spacer region". It matches the Rfam family "Bacterial small subunit ribosomal RNA", at positions 524 to 776 of the family's 1533-position model. The record is from RNAcentral. Lineage: Bacteria; Pseudomonadati; Myxococcota; Myxococcia; Myxococcales.
UACGGAGGGUGCAAACGUUGCUCGGAAUCACUGGGCGUAAAGCGAGCGUAGGCGGCAGCGUAAGUCGGGCGUGAAAGCCCUCGGCUCAACCGAGGAAGUGCGUUCGAAACUGCGCAGCUAGAGUACUGGAGAGGGUGACGGAAUUCUCGGUGUAGAGGUGAAAUUCGUAGAUAUCGGGAGGAACACCUGUGGCGAAGGCGGUCACCUGGACGGAUACUGACGCUGAGGCUCGAAAGCGUGGGGAGCAAACAGG